UACAGAGACUGCAAGCGUUAUUCGGAUUCACUGGGCGUAAAGCGUGCGCAGGCGGUUUGCUAAGACAGGUGUGAAAUCCCCGGGCUUAACCUGGGAACUGCGCUUGUAACUGGCAAGCUUGAGUGUGGCAGAGGGGGGUGGAAUUCCACGUGUAGCAGUGAAAUGCGUAGAUAUCGGGAGGAACACCAGUGGCGAAGGCGGUUGCCUGGAGCUUUGCUGACGCUGAUGCGCGAAAGCGUGGGGAGCGAUCCGG
Molecule: ribosomal RNA, 253 nt
Filed under: uncultured bacterium
Lineage: Bacteria
Description: partial 16S ribosomal RNA
Rfam family: Bacterial small subunit ribosomal RNA
Source: RNAcentral